UGCUUCGGCUCUCGGCCGCUUCGCCUCCUUCCGCAGCCCCCGAGCGCACAAAGAGAGAAAGAGAAAGAAAAAGCGGAGCCCUGCGCCCGGCAAACUCCAAACCGCAAGUUCUCACUACAGAAACAACAACAACAACAACCAAUUCUGGAGGCUUUAAUAAAACCUAAUUAGAGAGCGAGAGAGGGAGAGAGCCACGUACAGAAAAACAAAGGGAAUCCCCGGUUCCUAAUUGUGAAAGUGAGUUUCAGCCCUGCAGGAUGGCGGAUGGCAGGCUCUCGAGAUUUGGGGGAAAACAAUCCACCAACAGCAGAGACAGAGGAGAAACCCCCUUUGCACUACGUCCUUGGGAGCAGCUUGCCGCUUGUGCCCGUGCGCUGGAGAGCCUGAACUCACCGGGGAAAAGCUCCCCUGAAAUGAAUGUAAAACACACUUAUUUUCACCAAGACCGAGUUUUGCAUUUUAUAUUUGCGAGUUGGCCUGUGCAGGCCUCUCUGCUGCCAAUACAGCUCUCGCCGACUUAAAAAAAGACCGGGAGGCUGGAUGCUUCUGCUACCCCUCUGCCGAGGCGCUUAAACGCUGCAGCCCCAGGAGCCGGAAAAAAAAAGAGCUCGGCUUUUGGAGACGGAGCAUCGCAUCCCGAGAACUUCCCGGGAGCCAGGUCGCGGCUCCAUCCCGGCGCGACGCGGGCAGGUGCCGUGGCGCUCCCGGCAGCCGGGGGGGGGGCCUCAAAUACACGAUUUG
RNAcentral lists this long non-coding RNA (741 nucleotides) under Struthio camelus australis. RNAcentral's name for it is "lncRNA (ENSSCUG00000010215.1)". The record is from RNAcentral. Lineage: Eukaryota; Metazoa; Chordata; Aves; Struthioniformes; Struthionidae.